GACGAACGCUGGCGGCGUGCUUAACACAUGCAAGUCGAACGGAAAGGCCCUGCUUUUGUGGGGUGCUCGAGUGGCGAACGGGUGAGUAACACGUGAGUAACCUGCCCUUGACUUUGGGAUAACUUCAGGAAACUGGGGCUAAUACCGGAUAGGGGCUCCUGCUGCAUGGUGGGGGUCGGAAAGUUUCGGCGGUUGGGGAUGGACUCGCGGCUUAUCAGCUUGUUGGUGGGGUAGUGGCUUACCAAGGCUUUGACGGGUAGCCGGCCUGAGAGGGUGACCGGCCACAUUGGGACUGAGAUACGGCCCAGACUCCUACGGGAGGCAGCAGUGGGGAAUAUUGCACAAUGGGCGGAAGCCUGAUGCAGCAACGCCGCGUGCGGGAUGACGGCCUUCGGGUUGUAAACCGCUUUCGCCUGUGACGAAGCGUGAGUGACGGUAAUGGGUAAAGAAGCACCGGCUAACUACGUG
This 468-nucleotide ribosomal RNA is filed under the name uncultured bacterium. RNAcentral's name for it is "partial 16S ribosomal RNA". It matches the Rfam family "Bacterial small subunit ribosomal RNA", at positions 28 to 507 of the family's 1533-position model. The record is from RNAcentral.